Molecule: ribosomal RNA, 504 nt
Filed under: uncultured bacterium
Lineage: Bacteria
Description: partial 16S ribosomal RNA
Rfam family: Bacterial small subunit ribosomal RNA
Source: RNAcentral
GACGAACGCUGGCGGCGUGCCUAAUACAUGCAAGUAGAACGCACAGUUUAUACCGUAGCUUGCUACACCAUAGACUGUGAGUUGCGAACGGGUGAGUCACGCGUAGGUAACCUGCCUGGUAGCGGGGGAUAACUAUUGGAAACGUUAGCUAAUACCGCAUAAUAUUAAUUAUUGCAUGAUAAUUAAUUGAAAGGUGCAAUUGCACCACUACCAGAUGGACCUGCGUUGUAUUAGCUAGUAGGUGAGGUAACGGCUCACCUAGGCGACGAUACAUAGCCGACCUGAGAGGGUGAUCGGCCACACUGGAACUGAGACACGGCCCAGACUCCUACGGGAGGCAGCAGUAGGGAAUCUUCGGCAAUGGACGAAAGUCUGACCGAGCAACGCCGCGUGAGUGAAGAAGGUUUUCGGAUCGUAAAGCUCUGUUGUAAGAGAAGAACGGGUGUGAGAGUGGAAAGUUCACACUGUGACGGUAUCUUACCAGAAAGGGACGGCUAACUACGU